Molecule: long non-coding RNA, 279 nt
Filed under: Polistes fuscatus (common paper wasp)
Lineage: Eukaryota; Metazoa; Arthropoda; Insecta; Hymenoptera; Vespidae
Description: uncharacterized LOC122525529
Source: RNAcentral
GCCAGCUAGAAGCUUCCAGCCAGCUGAUCGUUGCUGAAACUCGCGCAAGCGUCCCGACGCUUCUGUUACAGACUUAUACAGGGGUCACGGAGUUUGGCCGAGACCGACCUUAAAGCCGGCAACGUCACGUCGCCGGAUCUUGGAGACACCUUUUACCCUUGACCUUGUCGUCGAUGCGCCAGCAAAAUGCUCGACUGCCCUUAUAACCGUUUUACUAACCCGACUCGUUGUAAUUUUUGGUCUCAUAAUAAAUGAGGGGGACGAAGAAAAAGAAGAAGA